This 573-nucleotide ribosomal RNA is filed under the name Leucocoprinus gongylophorus. RNAcentral describes it as "eukaryotic LSU rRNA". The stretch from base 182 to 573 matches the Rfam family "Eukaryotic large subunit ribosomal RNA", at positions 1 to 385 of the family's 3401-position model. The record is from RNAcentral. Lineage: Eukaryota; Fungi; Basidiomycota; Agaricomycetes; Agaricales; Agaricaceae.
UGGAGGAAAAUAUGUGCAGGCCUUUAUGACUAUGUCAGGGGUCGGCUCCUCUGAAAUGCAUUAGCGGAGCUGCUUGCAACCUUGCUAUAGGCGUGAUAAAAAAUUUCUGUGCCAAAGGGGGGUUUGCCCUGGUGUGGUUUGGCUUCCAACUCGGUCUGUGAAGACCCUUAACUGAAUAUCUUGACCUCAAAUCAGGUGGGACUACCCGCUGAACUUAAGCAUAUCAAUAAGCGGAGGAAAAGAAACUAACAAGGAUUCCCUUAGUAACUGCGAGUGAAGUGGGAAGAGCUCAAAUUUGAAAUCUGGCAGUCUCUGGCUGUCCGAGUUGUAAUCUAGAGAAGUGUUGCCCGCGCUGGACCGUGUACAAGUCUCCUGGGAUGGAGCGUCAUAGAGGGUGAGAAUCCCGUCUCUGACGUGGACUACCAGGGCUUUUGUGGUGCGCUCUCAAAGAGUCGAGUUGUUUGGGAAUGCAGCUCAAAAUGGGUGGUAAAUUCCAUCUAAAGCUAAAUAUUGGCGAGAGACCGAUAGUGAACAAGUACCGUGAGGGAAAGAUGAAAAGAACUUUGGAAAGAG